CUCCAUAUCUUGAAAUACCUCAUCCUCCAUGACUGGUAAGCUUGUGGCAGAACUUCUUAGUACCUUAAGAGCAUGCUUCCAUUCUUCCCUUGUAAUUCUACUGGCCAUGGCUCUACCAAUGGUAAUGAGAGCGAUUGGCAACCCUCUACACUCUUUAGCAACAUCUUGAGCCAGAGGAACAAUAUCAAGAUCAAUAUCCCAACCUUCUUCUGAAACAAUGCCCAAGCUUCUUCCCAAUCCAAAGGUUUCACUUUUAUCAUCUUUUCAGCUUCCAUUUGCCUGCCUACUCUGUAAGAGCGUGUUGUGAAUACUAUCUUGCAUCUGUUUUGUCUUGUAGGCAGAGGAACCCCAAUUUCUUCAAGGUCAACUCGUUGCCAUAUGUCAUCUAACAAUAAUACAAAUUUCUUUCUACUCAAUGCAUGGAAUAUGUCAUCUGCUUUCUCACGGAGGCUUUUCUUUUCCCAUUUCUCAUCCAAAAAGCCAAUUUUUUUCCAAAUCUGCUCUUGAAUCUUCUCAAGUUUCAAAUCUUUAGAAACCACAGCCCAAAUCAAAACAUCAAAAUUAUUAGAUAUAGUGGCAAAUCUAUUGUUGAUUUGAGUAAGGAGAGUAGUUUUACCGACUCCCCCCAUACCGUAUAUGCCAAAA
This 645-nucleotide unclassified non-coding RNA is filed under the name Hevea brasiliensis (rubber tree). The record is from RNAcentral. Lineage: Eukaryota; Viridiplantae; Streptophyta; Magnoliopsida; Malpighiales; Euphorbiaceae.